CAUUCUUUCUGUUACUUUUGGUUGACAACAUGGGGAGAAUUUUGAGAAGAGAUGAGCCCCUGAACUGUCCUGGUUUCUUUUGCUAAGAACAGACCACGGUUUGAAUGCAUUCCACUGGCCGCACUGUCUCUGAGAACUGCGCAGAGGAAAAUGAGAGAGUUCAUGUGUGGGGAUUCGGGUCUGGCAGUGGCAUCCAACCAAAGCAAGCAGGUACAGGGUGGAGUCGCAGUGAACCAAGCGCCAACGUUGCCGUCCCAUCCGUGGAGAUUUCCACCUACUUUUACUGUUUUGAACUCCAGACAAGAGAGUUACCAGCCACAUGAUUUUCAAUACUUAAAGCUGGAAAAUAUUUCCAAGAGCCCCAGUAAAGCCUGUACGUGGCUGGCACAGGGAACUCUCCCUGGAGAGGAGAUGGGUGAGGCGGUGGACACACUUCCUGAAGCCACAAGAAAGAGGAGGCUGCUGAUUCAUCAGCAGCUGCUUCCUGGACUUACAAUGCUGGGCUGCACUGAAGAGUAUUUUUCCAAGGUGAUGUGAACUGUUACAACAUUCCUGCUGGUCCCCAUCGGACCUUCCUGUAAGUCAAACCAGAAAGUUGCCCAAACCAGCAUUCCUGA
RNAcentral lists this long non-coding RNA (617 nucleotides) under Mus spicilegus (steppe mouse). RNAcentral's name for it is "lncRNA (ENSMSIG00000024634.1)". The record is from RNAcentral. Lineage: Eukaryota; Metazoa; Chordata; Mammalia; Rodentia; Muridae.